CAGGACCGCGCGGAAGGCACAGGGGCGCGGGGGCGGGCGCAGUCUGACGCAUGCGCACCGGCGGCUGAAGUGCCGCUCAUGCGCAGUGCGCUCCUCCCCUUCGGCGGGGGGGGGGUUGCUGCUCUCCCCGGUGACCGGUGGCGCCGAGCGGGGGGAAACCGGGAGCGACCGUGCGGCGGGGGGGUUCCCCCCCCCCCGCACAGGCACCGGAAGCCGUUUGCACUGCACCGUUUAUUGCUGUGGGCCCAGUUAGCCGAGCUUGGGGGGGACCUGGUGGGGUCACUCCGGAGGCAGAGGUCACUGAAGAAGAAGUUGAACAAGACUGGAUCCAGUACUGACUCCUGGGGGACACUGCUAGCUACAGGCCUCCAACUAGACUCUCUGCCGCUGAGCACAACCCUCUGAGCUCUGCCAUUCAGCCACUUCUCAAUCCACCUCACUGUCCACUCAUCUAACUCACACUUCCUGAGCGUACCUAUGAGGCUGUUAUGGGAGACAGUAUCGAAAGCCUUGCUGAAGUCAAGGGAGACAACAUCCACUGCUGUCCCCUCAUCUACUCAGGCAGUCAUUCCAUCAGAGAAGGCUAUCAGAUUGGUUAAGCAUGAUUUCCUCUUGGUGAAGCCAUGAUGACUACUCCUGAUCACCUUCUUGUCCUCCACAUGCUUGGAGAUGUCCUCCAGGAUGAGCUGCUCCAUCACCUUUCCAGGGAUGGAGGUGAGGCUGACUGGCCUGUAGUUCCCUGGGUCCUCCCUCUUGCCUUUUUUGAAGACUGGAAUGACAUUGGCUUUCUUCCAGUCUUCAGGCACCUCUCCUGUUCUCCAUGACCUUUCAAAGAUGAUGGAGAGUGGCCUAGCAAUAACAUCUGC
Molecule: long non-coding RNA, 866 nt
Filed under: Apteryx rowi (Okarito brown kiwi)
Lineage: Eukaryota; Metazoa; Chordata; Aves; Apterygiformes; Apterygidae
Description: lncRNA (ENSARWG00000014047.1)
Source: RNAcentral